GGGAGCGGCAGACGGGUGAGUAACGCGUGGGGAUGUGCCCAAUGGUGCGGAAUAACCCAGGGAAACUUGGAUUAAUACCGCAUGUGCCCUUCGGGGGAAAGAUUUAUCGCCAUUGGAUCAACCCGCGUCUGAUUAGCUAGUUGGUGAGGUAAAGGCUCACCAAGGCGACGAUCAGUAGCUGGUCUGAGAGGAUGAUCAGCCACACUGGGACUGAGACACGGCCCAGACUCCUACGGGAGGCAGCAGUGGGGAAUAUUGGACAAUGGGCGCAAGCCUGAUCCAGCCAUGCCGCGUGAGUGAUGAAGGCCUUAGGGUUGUAAAGCUCUUUCGCCGGUGAAGAUAAUGACGGUAACCGGAGAAGAAGCCCCGGCUAACUUCGUGCCAGCAGCCGCGGUAAUACGAAGGGGGCAAGCGUUGCUCGGAAUCACUGGGCGUAAAGCGCACGUAGGCGGAUCGUUAAGUCAGGGGUGAAAGCCUGGAGCUCAACUCCAGAACUGCCCUUGAUACUG
RNAcentral lists this ribosomal RNA (509 nucleotides) under Azorhizobium caulinodans. RNAcentral's name for it is "bacterial SSU rRNA". It matches the Rfam family "Bacterial small subunit ribosomal RNA", at positions 91 to 635 of the family's 1533-position model. The record is from RNAcentral. Lineage: Bacteria; Pseudomonadati; Pseudomonadota; Alphaproteobacteria; Hyphomicrobiales; Xanthobacteraceae.